AAAUGCCUGGCCUUCCCAUGUACGCCGACGACUCAUGAUAACUUUUAUUUUCCCGGCGAAACACCGAAGUAGCCUCUAAUGCAUCUCUUCGCAUUCAUUACCGGUGAGAGUGUAUAUAUAUAGUGGAUAUUAUGCGUAUAAAUAUGCCAAUAUGUACGUACAUGUAAGUGCUCUUUCAUGUCUCCUCUUCGUCUUCAUCAUCUUGUGGAGAAUUCUUUUUUUCUUUCUGCGUCUUGGUUUGAGAGAAAAGAGAGAGGAGAUGAACUUUAAAACU
Arabidopsis thaliana (thale cress) is the source of this 274-nucleotide long non-coding RNA. RefSeq annotates it as other RNA. The transcript has a single exon. NCBI's taxonomy places the organism in Eukaryota, Viridiplantae, Streptophyta, Magnoliopsida, Brassicales, Brassicaceae. The record is from RefSeq.